RNAcentral lists this ribosomal RNA (327 nucleotides) under uncultured Bacillota bacterium. Its description in RNAcentral is "bacterial SSU rRNA". It matches the Rfam family "Bacterial small subunit ribosomal RNA", at positions 28 to 351 of the family's 1533-position model. Lineage: Bacteria; Bacillati; Bacillota. The record is from RNAcentral.
GACGAACGCUGGCGGCGUGCCUAACACAUGCAAGUCGAGCGAGUGAAUCUCCUUCGGGAGUGAAGCUAGCGGCGGACGGGUGAGUAACACGUGGGCAACCUGCCUCAUAGAGGGGAAUAGCCUUCCGAAAGGAAGAUUAAUACCGCAUAAGAUUGUAGCUUCGCAUGAAGUAGCAAUUAAAGGAGUAAUCCGCUAUGAGAUGGGGCCCGCGGCGCAUUAGCUAGUUGGUGAGGUAACGGCUCACCAAGGCGACGAUGCGUAGCCGACCUGAGAGGGUGAUCGGCCACAUUGGGACUGAGACACGGCCCAGACACCUACGGGUGGCAG